Molecule: ribosomal RNA, 468 nt
Filed under: uncultured bacterium
Lineage: Bacteria
Description: partial 16S ribosomal RNA
Rfam family: Bacterial small subunit ribosomal RNA
Source: RNAcentral
GACGAACGCUGGCGGCGUGCUUAACACAUGCAAGUCGAACGGAAAGGCCCUGCUUUUGUGGGGUGCUCGAGUGGCGAACGGGUGAGUAACACGUGAGUAACCUGCCCUUGACUUUGGGAUAACUUCAGGAAACUGGGGCUAAUACCGGGUAGGAGCUCCUGCUGCAUGGUGGGGGUUGGAAAGUUUCGGCGGUUGGGGAUGGACUCGCGGCUUAUCGGCUUGUUGGUGGGGUAGUGGCUUACCAAGGCUUUGACGGGUAGCCGGCCUGAGAGGGUGACCGGCCACAUUGGGACUGAGAUACGGCCCAGACUCCUACGGGAGGCAGCAGUGGGGAAUAUUGCACAAUGGGCGGAAGCCUGAUGCAGCAACGCCGCGUGCGGGAUGACGGCCUUCGGGUUGUAAACCGCUUUCGCCUGUGACGAAGCGUGAGUGACGGUAAUGGGUAAAGAAGCACCGGCUAACUACGUG